GGCAGUGUGGCUCAGUGGUAGAGCGCUUGCCUGGCAUGUGUGAGGCCCUGGGUUCCAUCCCUAGUACUGCAA
This 72-nucleotide transfer RNA is filed under the name Cavia porcellus (domestic guinea pig). It matches the Rfam family "tRNA". From Rfam's summary of the family: Transfer RNA (tRNA) molecules are approximately 80 nucleotides in length. The record is from Rfam by way of RNAcentral. Lineage: Eukaryota; Metazoa; Chordata; Mammalia; Rodentia; Caviidae.